RNAcentral lists this non-coding RNA (217 nucleotides) under Secundilactobacillus mixtipabuli. RNAcentral describes it as "Lactobacillus mixtipabuli T-box sequence". It matches the Rfam family "T-box leader". From Rfam's summary of the family: Uncharged tRNA acts as the effector for transcription antitermination of genes in the T-box leader family. T-boxes are found upstream of many aminoacyl-tRNA synthetase genes and some amino acid biosynthetic genes usually in Gram-positive bacteria. Lineage: Bacteria; Bacillati; Bacillota; Bacilli; Lactobacillales; Lactobacillaceae. The record is from RNAcentral.
GUAUAAGCAAUGAGCAAGAGAGCUGACCAAACAGUGUCGCCCAGAGAGGAAACCCUUGGCUGAAAGGUUUUUCGACCCGUUGAUCAGCAGUAGCUUGCGAGCUGUCAGACUGAACGCACAGUAGGCCUGACCGGAGUGACAUCCGUUAACGAUUGUUAUUAAGAGGGGUUUAAAAGCCCAAUUUAGGUGGUACCGCGAAAAGCAUUUCGUCCUAUUU